This 253-nucleotide ribosomal RNA is filed under the name uncultured bacterium. Its description in RNAcentral is "partial 16S ribosomal RNA". It matches the Rfam family "Bacterial small subunit ribosomal RNA", at positions 524 to 776 of the family's 1533-position model. The record is from RNAcentral.
UACAGGGGUUGCAAGCGUUGUUCGAAAUUAUUGGGCGUAAAGCGCACGUAGGUUGUGAAGUAAGUCUUGUGUGAAAGCUCCGGGCUCAACCCGGAAAAUGCAUGGGAUACUACUUUGCUUGAGGAUGUGAGAGGAUAGCGGAAUUCCCAGUGUAGUGGUGAAAUACGUAGAUAUUGGGAGGAACACCGGAGGCGAAAGCGGCUAUCUGGCACAUUUCUGACGCUGAGGUGCGAAAGCGUGGGUAGCAAACAGG